Molecule: RNA transcript, 1605 nt
Organism: Medicago truncatula (barrel medic)
Lineage: Eukaryota; Viridiplantae; Streptophyta; Magnoliopsida; Fabales; Fabaceae
Gene name: dnaJ homolog subfamily C member 17
Exons: 4
Source: RefSeq, a predicted model, not a curated record
AAUUUAUGUCCGUCCAAUAAAAAUACACCGUUCUUCUCUCCACGGCAAACAAACACACCGUGGAAACAAAGCAAUGGACACAAACAUCGAUCACUACACGGUGCUAGGGUUACCUUCCGGCGAAGAAGGUUCCAACCUAACCCAAAAAGAUAUCAACAAAGCUUACAAAUCCAAAGCCCUUGAACUCCACCCCGACAAACGCCCCGAUGACCCCAACGCCGCCGCCAAUUUCCAACAACUUCGAACUUCCUACGAUAUCCUCAAAGAUGAAAAAGCUCGAAAAUUAUUCGACGAUCUUCUUCGUGUCAAGCUCGAAAAUCAACGCCGUGAAUCUCAGCGCGAUGGAAAACGCCGUAAAAUGGUUUCCGAUCUUGAAAAGAGAGAGCGUGAUGCUUUUUCGCCUGAUUCUGCGGCGAGAGGGAGAGAAGAGGAGGAUAGGAUUGCUAAGAAGUUGAAGGAAGAGAUUGCCAGGAUUCGUGCUAUGCAUGCGAAGAAAGCGGGAGCUGAUUUGGGUGUGAAGAAAGAAAACGCUUCUUCCGGUGGUGGUGGUGGUGGUGAUGGCGGUGGUGUUGAUCAAGAAAAGGUUUUGAAGGUUUCGUGGGAAAAGGUCGGUGAAGAUUAUUCAGCGGAUAAAUUGAGGGAAUUGUUUUCGAAAUUCGGUGAAGUUGAAGAUGUUGUUAUUAAAGGCAGCAAGAAAAAGGGUUCUGCUCUUGUUGUCAUGGCUACUAAACAAGGAGCUGUUGCUACAAUUGGAAAUGUGAUUGGUCAUCUUGCGAAUCCGUUGUUGGUUUUACCUCUUAAACCUGCAAUGCCAGCAGAUUCUUGGGGUGCUUCAAAGUCUGUCGAGCCUGAAGCACCGAGUAAAUUAGUUGGGGCUGGUUAUCAAGCUUUUGAGGAUUCUGUUCUUAUGAAACUGCAAAAGGCGGCAGCAAAGCAAAAAUGAUGGUAAAAUAUGUCAAACACCAGAAUGGACUAUUUGGAAUGCCGAUUCGCCGAUUCUCAUUCUUAGGAGUCUACAACCUGUGGUGAUAAGAUUCAAUUCAAGGAAGCCUCCUUUUGAUGAAAACCAAAAACUGGAAGUUGAAGGAGGUGUGGUUUUAGUGCAGCCUUGGGUCCAUGACAAAUGUUUCUGGACUGCAUAAAAGAGAGACCAAAUGCUAGCUGCUGGAAAGUCAGAGACCUAUGGUCCCUUGGUUGCAUAAAAACUUGAAUCUUGAUGUCAAUAAACAAAUCAUGUGUUCUGGGUCAGUUUGGAAUUCCUUCUGCUAUCUGUAUACAGCACUAAAAUGGGAGUUUAACUUAACACACUCAGAUUAAGUCCAGAAUUCUGAGAUUAACCUUUUGGGGAAUUUGGGGUCCAGCAAAGCAUUGUCCCAACCUAAUGGUUCAUAGCAAGCAGGCAGGCUGGGAAUUGGACAAAAAAUGGUUCUCAUAGCCCUUUGUGUUUGCAAGUACAAUAAAGGGUUAUAGCUUUAGAACGUGCGUCCAAGCUGUAGUGUGGAAUAGGUUCUAUCAUGUUCAAUGAUUGUUCCACUAACGAGUACUUUUGUAUGCUUAUUGAUUUGUGUGCUACUCCUCUGCAUUAUUAUCAUUAUUAGUAACUUA